UUGAUUUUACAAGGCUUCUAACGUCAUUGGAUUUCUACGGGCUUGUUUACAUUUUUUUUUGUCUUUACUAGUAAUGUAAAAAGUUGUUUUUGUUGUGAUGAAAUGGGAUUGUCGUGAAGAUAUGUGUUUCUUUGGAUAUCUGGUGAGAAAAACUAUAAGACAUUGGUAGUGUGUUUUUUAUGCCGGGAUGUGUAGUAGUCGUUCAUUAAUUUCGCGGACAGGCCGACAUUCGAUUCGCGGCAUAACGAUCCGAUUUUUGAGGACCCAUUGGUAAUGGAGAAUGUAAAGGAGCCCAAGCGUAAGCGUCAUGUGUACGUAACACGAGAACAACCAUUUCCCGUCGUUAUAGAAAGUGUUUCCGGUAUACCUGUGAGUGAGCGUCUGUGGCAAACAUACACUGGUCGCUACAACGGCGACUGUGUAGUGGUGGAGAAAAAAAAUGACAUACACUCAUUAUAUACAAAGGGUUUCUUUGGGAAAGGUUCACUAUCAAGGCAUUUUCCCACUUUUGGAAGAGUCAAGAAUGGCAUUCCUCCAUUUAUUUCAGAGCGCCAGUGGAAGCAGAGAAACAAGUGGAAAGAAGAUUCUGAAUCUGAAGAGAUUGCUAUUUCAGUGAAAGUUGAAGACAAUAGUGGAUAUCUAAUAAAAGAAGAGGUCAACAGUGAUACAGACCAUUCAUCAUCACAUUUAAUGCAAAGUAUUGGAGGUUUGGUUAAGGAACAAGGUCCUCAAGUGUUCCCACCUGACUGGCAGAGUGAACAAAAAGAUACAGAGUCACCACAGCCUUUGCAUACUUCAUACCAAGCACCUACAAUAAGAUUUCACAGGGAUCCCCCCAAGAAACGAGUAACUGUAGUGAACCCUGUGUCAGAACAAACCAGCAGUGACAAUGUAAAUGCAGGAGAAGGAACUUCAUCAGGAACUGGUGGUGCAUCUAGAUCCCCAGUUGGAGGUAGUGCCAAAGAUAGAAGCAAAUCACAAAAAAGGGGAAGUGAUGUUGAGGAAGACAGCAGAUCACAUGUGAUUGAAGCAGGUAGGGUUGGACUGAUGGAUACAGAAGAGAUCAAAAGUGAAAUAAGGACAGAUGACGAGUCUCCGUCAGCCAGUGAGCGCCUUUCAUUACAAAGGAAUGUUGAAAAUGAAGUUGUUGUAUUGCGUGAUUCAGACAGUGAAGAAGAGGAAUUGGUAAUAGAUAAACUGGAGGCGAGGUUGGUGCAAAACCCGUAUCCAGUACCUGAACACUUGCACUUGACACUAGAAGAAGCCUUCUUUCUGUCGUAUGCUCUUGGAUGUUUGCAAGUACUGGACCUCACAGGCAAAGUGAUGACAUUAAGAGAACUGUGGGAGACAUUUCGUGCAUCAGAUGCUGAGUUUGUGCAAAAGUAUGUUGCCUAUCACCAUUUCCGUGGAAAAGGAUGGGUAGUCAAAUCAGGACUUAAAUAUGGCGGAGAUUUCUUACUGUACAAGGAAGGCCCUCCAUUCUAUCAUGCAUCAUACAUUGUUCUGGUAGAAGUACUACGGCAAGCUGACUUGGGCAGGAGCUCCUCACACAAUCGCCGGUCAAUCUCUUGGCCAUUGCUGUUUGGGGUCAAUCGUCUUGCUGAAACUGUUGGCAAACGGAGUGUGCACUGAUAUGGAACUUCCUGGCAGAUUAAACCUGUGUGCUGGACUAAGACUGGAACUCAGAACCUUUACCGCGAACUGUGGAAAUACUGAUGUGUCGUGUGGUAUGGCCACGUUCAGUAGCUGACCAUGGUCCAAAUACCCCACAGCAGCUUGCUCGAUUUUGUGUACAAGAGGUCCUGCUCAAAAGAUGGGUCUCUUCCCAAGAACGAGAAGAACUU
RNAcentral lists this unclassified non-coding RNA (1844 nucleotides) under Schistocerca americana (American grasshopper). Its description in RNAcentral is "tRNA-splicing endonuclease subunit Sen2, transcript variant X1". Lineage: Eukaryota; Metazoa; Arthropoda; Insecta; Orthoptera; Acrididae. The record is from RNAcentral.